AUUAUACCGUGAAACUGCGAAUGGCUCAUUAAAUCAGUUAUCGUUUAUUUGAUAAUACCUUACUACUUGGAUAACCGUGGUAAUUCUAGAGCUAAUACAUGCUGAAAAUCCCGACUUCGGAAGGGAUGUGUUUAUUAGAUAAAAAACCAAUGCCCUUCGGGGCUUUUUGGUGAUUCAUGAUAACUUUACGGAUCGCAUAGCCUUGCGCUGGCGACGGUUCAUUCAAAUUUCUGCCCUAUCAACUUUCGAUGGUAAGGUAUUGGCUUACCAUGGUUUCAACGGGUAACGGGGAAUUAGGGUUCGAUUCCGGAGAGGGAGCCUGAGAAACGGCUACCACAUCCAAGGAAGGCAGCAGGCGCGCAAAUUACCCAAUCCCGACACGGGGAGGUAGUGACAAUAAAUACUGAUACAGGGCUCUUUUGGGUCUUGUAAUUGGAAUGAGUACAAUUUAAACCUCUUAACGAGGAACAAUUGGAGGGCAAGUCUGGUGCCAGCAGCCGCGGUAAUUCCAGCUCCAAUAGCGUAUAUUAAAGUUGUUGCAGUUAAAAAGCUCGUAGUUGAAACUUGGGCCUGGCUGGCGGGUCCGCCUCACCGCGUGCACUCGUCCGGCCGGGCCUUCCUUCUGAAGAACCUCAUGCCCUUCACUGGGCGUGCUGGGGAAUCAGGACUUUUACUUUGAAAAAAUUAGAGUGUUCAAAGCAGGCCUUUGCUCGAAUACGUUAGCAUGGAAUAAUAAAAUAGGGCGUGCGUUUCUAUUUUGUUGGUUUCUAGAGACGCCGCAAUGAUUAACAGGAACAGUCGGGGGCAUCAGUAUUCAGUUGUCAGAGGUGAAAUUCUUGGAUUUACUGAAGACUAACUACUGCGAAAGCAUUUGCCAAGGAUGUUUUCAUUAAUCAGUGAACGAAAGUUAGGGGAUCGAAGACGAUCAGAUACCGUCGUAGUCUUAACCGUAAACUAUGCCGACUAGGGAUCGGGCGAUGUUCUUUUUCUGACUCGCUCGGCACCUUACGAGAAAUCAAAGUUU
RNAcentral lists this ribosomal RNA (1024 nucleotides) under Alternaria alternata. RNAcentral's name for it is "SSU rRNA". It matches the Rfam family "Eukaryotic small subunit ribosomal RNA", at positions 73 to 1106 of the family's 1831-position model. Lineage: Eukaryota; Fungi; Ascomycota; Dothideomycetes; Pleosporales; Pleosporaceae. The record is from RNAcentral.